CCCUUAGAUGUUCUGGGCCGCACGCGCGCUACACUGAUGCAUUCAACGAGUCUAAAACCUGCUCUGAUAGGGGUGGGUAAUCUUUUGAAUGUGCAUCGUGAUUGGGAUAGAUGAUUGCAAUUUUUCAUCUUCAACGAGGAAUGCCUAGUAAACGCAAGUCAUCAGCUUGCAUUGAUUACGUCCCUGCCCUUUGUACACACCGCCCGUUGCUCCUACCGAUUGAAUGAUCCGAUGAAUAUCAUGGAUUGAGGAUUAUAGCAGGUUCGCCUGUCUUGAUCUUCGAGAAGUGAAGUAAAUCUUAUCAUUUAGAGGAAGGAGAAGUCGUAACA
RNAcentral lists this ribosomal RNA (329 nucleotides) under uncultured eukaryote. RNAcentral's name for it is "partial 18S ribosomal RNA". It matches the Rfam family "Eukaryotic small subunit ribosomal RNA", at positions 1470 to 1796 of the family's 1831-position model. The record is from RNAcentral.